ACGCGAGGAACCUUACCAGGUCUUGACAUCCCAUUGACCGCUAUGGAGACAUAGCUUUCCCUUCGGGGACAGUGGUGACAGGUGGUGCAUGGUUGUCGUCAGCUCGUGUCGUGAGAUGUUGGGUUAAGUCCCGCAACGAGCGCAACCCUUAUUCUUAGUUGCCAUCAUUUAGUUGGGUACUCUAAGGAGACUGCCGGUGACAAACCGGAGGAAGGUGGGGAUGACGUCAAAUCAUCAUGCCCCUUAUGACCUGGGCUACACACGUGCUACAAUGGACGGUACAAACGGUUGCCAACCCGCGAGGGGGAGCUAAUCCGAUAAAACCGUUCUCAGUUCGGAUUGUAGGCUGCAACUCGCCUACAUGAAGCCGGAAUCGCUAGUAAUCGCGGAUCAGCAUGCCGCGGUGAAUACGUUCCCGGGCCUUGUACACACCGCCCGU
RNAcentral lists this ribosomal RNA (439 nucleotides) under uncultured bacterium. RNAcentral describes it as "bacterial SSU rRNA". It matches the Rfam family "Bacterial small subunit ribosomal RNA", at positions 959 to 1397 of the family's 1533-position model. The record is from RNAcentral.